Molecule: ribosomal RNA, 443 nt
Filed under: uncultured Clostridium sp.
Lineage: Bacteria; Bacillati; Bacillota; Clostridia; Eubacteriales; Clostridiaceae
Description: partial 16S ribosomal RNA
Rfam family: Bacterial small subunit ribosomal RNA
Source: RNAcentral
ACGGAAGGCAGCAGUGGGGGAUAUUGGUCAAUGGGGGAAACCCUGAACCAGCGACGCCGCGUGAGUGAAGAAGUAUUUCGGUAUGUAAAGCUCUAUCAGCAGGGAAGAAAAAAUCAAAAUUGACAGUACCUGACUAAGAAGCCCCGGCUAACUACGUGCCAGCAGCCGCGGUAAUACGUAGGGGGCAAGCGUUAUCCGGAUUUACUGGGUGUAAAGGGAGCGUAGACGGCAAAGCAAGUCUGAAGUGAAAUCCCGGGGCUCAACCCCGGAACUGCUUUGGAAACUGUUUAGCUAGAGUGCAGGAGAGGUAAGCGGAAUUCCUAGUGUAGCGGUGAAAUGCGUAGAUAUUAGGAGGAACACCAGUGGCGAAGGCGGCUUACUGGACUGUAACUGACGUUGAGGCUCGAAAGCGUGGGGAGCAAACAGGAUUAGAUACCCUGGUA